GCGCCCAUAGCUCAGCUGGAUAGAGCGUUGGACUACGAAUCCAAAGGUCGCAAGUUCGAGUCUUGCUGGGCGCA
RNAcentral lists this transfer RNA (74 nucleotides) under Deltaproteobacteria bacterium. Its description in RNAcentral is "tRNA-Arg". It matches the Rfam family "tRNA". Rfam says of the family: Transfer RNA (tRNA) molecules are approximately 80 nucleotides in length. Their secondary structure includes four short double-helical elements and three loops (D, anti-codon, and T loops). RNAcentral also lists the same sequence under 3 other names. Lineage: Bacteria; Pseudomonadati; Myxococcota; Myxococcia. The record is from RNAcentral.